GGUGCUGUGGCUCAAGUGGUAGAGCGCUUCCCUUCAGCUGAAGAGCUGAGGGACAGCACCC
This 61-nucleotide transfer RNA is filed under the name Dipodomys ordii (Ord's kangaroo rat). Lineage: Eukaryota; Metazoa; Chordata; Mammalia; Rodentia; Heteromyidae. The record is from Rfam by way of RNAcentral.